This is a non-coding RNA of Callorhinus ursinus (northern fur seal), 1323 nucleotides long. The record is from RefSeq and is a predicted model, not a curated record. Lineage: Eukaryota; Metazoa; Chordata; Mammalia; Carnivora; Otariidae.
GGAGGAAAGCGAUCAAUAGAAAACAAGAGUACUCAUAACAAACCUUUACCAGAGUUGCUCUACCCAAGGGACUAGUGCACACAAGUAUUUUCUCCUGCUAAUCUAAAUUUAGAAAAAGAACUCUCACCACUGCUUCCAGCAGAACUUGCAGGCAGAGAACUGGGAGACAUCUGGACAUGGGCCAAAUCUGAAAAACCAUGAUAAUGGGGCCAAGGGUGCUCAGUGCAGUGUGGAUGCUUAUGAAAGAGAGUUCUUUCACACAACAGAGCCCACCUGAAACCAGUGCCUGAAGUCCAAGGCACAGUGAAAGGCCAGCAAUGCAAACAUUUGGAUAGAAGUAUCCCACAGAUAUUUGCUCCAGCCGUGGCCUGACAAGAGUGGUGUGUCAUAUGGAACCUGCACCUGAUUUGCAGCACAGGGCAACACACGAUAUGGAAACACCUACCUGUGAGUAAUGGACACUGAGGUGAGCUGAAUAGCAGCAUUCACGCAACCCAAAUCCUGGCCUGGGAAGCCAUUGAGAGAACUGACUCUGAUAUUCUGACAGUAAGGUCUUUCUUGGCUCAUGAGGAAGAUCAUAAUAGGUUAAUGAUGGUGCCCACUACAUUCUAGGCUCUGCCUAUGCUAGGCCCCUCAUAAACAUCUUCUCGAAGACUCACAGUAUACCUACUAUUAUCCCCAUUUUGCAGUUAGGAAAAUAGGCUCAGAGAGGUUAAGGGGCUUGCCCACCAGAUAGCUAGAGAUAAUGAGAAAAUUAAGGGAUGAAGACACAAUUUUAUUCAUCCAUUUCUGUUCUGAUAAGGUUAUCUAAAAUCUUCUUUGGUCCCUCCAAGAUGAAGAUAAUUAAUAGAUCAUAUUAUCUCCUAGGUUCCUGUGGACAUGUUAGGUAAGUAAAACUUAUAUUGAUCAAAAACAUGACCAAAAAUGCUUUGUCACUUCCCUCAGAAAGAGAUGUGGUCUAUUUUGCCACCCUCUGGAAACUGGCCUGUGACUGCUCUGACCAAGAGAGCAUGCUGGAAGAGACUCUCCCAGUUUCAGGUCCAGCCUAUAAAUGGCCUGGCAGCUUCCACCUCUCCCUCUGGAAUCCAGUGGAGAAGCCCACCUGGAGCAGAACAAAGGCCCCAGCCAAUAGCCAGCCCAACCUGUCCAUCAUGUGAGACUUACAGAGGCACUAGAUCCUCCAGCCCAGUCAAGCUACCCCAGCCAGGUGAUAUGUUUUCCAGGAAAGUCUGAUGCUUGGCUGGACCUCUCAAUGUGUUACCAUCCUGGGUCGUUGGGCUCUCCAAGCAAUCGAAAUUGACUGGAGCCAAGCAGGAAUUUCAG